This 500-nucleotide ribosomal RNA is filed under the name uncultured bacterium. Its description in RNAcentral is "partial 16S ribosomal RNA". It matches the Rfam family "Bacterial small subunit ribosomal RNA", at positions 30 to 523 of the family's 1533-position model. The record is from RNAcentral.
AUUGAACGCUGGCGGCAGGCCUAACACAUGCAAGUCGAGCGGCAGCGGGUCCUUCGGGAUGCCGGCGAGCGGCGGACGGGUGAGUAAUGCCUAGGAAUCUGCCUGGUAGUGGGGGAUAACGUUCGGAAACGGACGCUAAUACCGCAUACGUCCUACGGGAGAAAGUGGGGGAUCUUCGGACCUCACGCUAUCAGAUGAGCCUAGGUCGGAUUAGCUAGUUGGUGGGGUAAAGGCUCACCAAGGCGACGAUCCGUAACUGGUCUGAGAGGAUGAUCAGUCACACUGGAACUGAGACACGGUCCAGACUCCUACGGGAGGCAGCAGUGGGGAAUAUUGGACAAUGGGCGAAAUCCUGAUCCAGCCAUGCCGCGUGUGUGAAGAAGGUCUUCGGAUUGUAAAGCACUUUAAGUUGGGAGGAAGGGCAGUAAGUUAAUACCUUGCUGUUUUGACGUUACCAACAGAAUAAGCACCGGCUAACUUCGUGCCAGCAGCCGCGGUAA